CUAAAAUGUUAUCUACUUGUAACACAUGUGCGACACCCUCAGCUUUUACGCACACACAUGGAUCCACACAUACACAGAAACACACUGAACCCAGCCAUAGAAACCAUGUCAAAGAUAAAUGCGGAGCACUGUAAUGAAGAAUCUACAGACUCUAAAUUUGUUGCCAAUUUUGGCUCUGGCAAGUUUGUUCGUCAAGAUAAGCGAAUCAAUCUCUCUUCGCCCAGUGCUGACUGGCCCUGACAUGGCCUACCUCGGCUCAAGGGUGGCUUUCCGGUGUAUUGCGCCGGACUCCUCUCCGCCAAACGCCUACGAGCUGAUGAGGGAUGGUGGUGUCCGGGUUGCCACAGUCACUGUCCUUCAAGGGGACCAACCUGCAUUAUUCUUCCUUAAGAUCGCUGCAACAUCAGAGGGGUCAUACCACUGCAAGGCGACUGCAGGAAGAACCACAGGAGUCAGCAACAGCAUCAAGCUGAGUGUAAUCAUUCCACCAGCAAUAACCAGAGUGACUUCUGAACCCUCUCCCCCAGUCGCAUACGAGGGGUCACACAUUGUACUGAGCUGCAACGUUACAAAGGGCUCCCACCUUUCCUACACCUGGUUUUUCAAUAGGAAGGAAGUCACAUCUUCAACAUCUCCCUUCUUCCACAUCACUGAGAACAAGCUAGUGAUUGAGGAGUUGACUCCAGAGCUUGCUGGGAACUAUUAUUGCAUGGCUUGGUCCAGGGUGCAGGACAUCAGGAGGUUUUCCAGCAGCUCAGAGGUCCAGGUGACUGUCAAAGUCUAUGUUUCAAAACCAAGGAUCUCUUUCUGCAUCUCCAAAGAGGGAGCCAGUUACAUUGGCAACGUGACCUGCUGGUCAACAAGAGGGAGUCCUCCAGUCAACUUCUCUCUUUCAAUAGAUGACAAGGAAGUGGGAUCUGUCUCAGCAACUGAAUCCCUCGCUGUCUGGUUCCCUGUCGCAAUGGUACCCGGGCUGGACAUGGGUGUGGCUCGAUGUCGGGUGAAUACUGAGGUGCAGGACUUGAUGAGUGAGCCUGUGGCUCUAGAAGUGGUCCCUGUCGGAGGUGAUGUGAAAGUGGAGGUGGAGUAUCUCUACAGAGAUGACUCCAAACUGGCGGUUGCCAGGCUGAACUGUCAUGUCAGCAGAGGAACUUUCCCUUACAUCUCCUGGCUCUUGAACAACUCUAUCUUCCCCUCUGAGACGCAUGUAGACUCUCAUAUUCCGCCCGUCCUGUCUCACUGUGCUCUUGCUGACCAUGGACGAACCCUUGUUCUGGCCAAGCUCGGCCCAGAGGAGUCUGGUUAUUACAGCUGCAGGGUCAGGGACAGCUACGAUGACUCAGGGCCCUGGGUGGAGAGUGCUUCCGUGCUAGUCCAAGUCACAGAGGAUUACGUCCCUGACUACUUCUUGACCAGGAGCAAAAGUUUCAGCUGAUUGACCAGGAACCGCGCAGUGGCAACAAAACUCCUGGCCAGGGUUUUGAUCCAGGCUAGCUGUCCUUUAUGCUAAGCUAUGCUAACCAGCUUCAGCUCCAGCUACAUAUUUACCAUAAAUGUGUGAGUAGUAUCUCUUGGUGUAAUGUUUGGUUUAAAAAAGAAUAGGCAUAUUUAUUAAAAUGUUUAACUAUUCCUUUAACAAAUUUCUUUUGAAUCCAGACUCAUCUUAACAUGUCACACGUGCCCUUGCUAUUUGUGUGGGGUCUCUGCACCCUUUACCACAUCACAAUUAUUACUCUUGAUCAGACAACUCCACGCCUCAAGUAAAAUCUUCCUGCGAAACACCAUUAAGCACAUAUUUUACAUUUAAAUGCCUUAUAGUCUGUAAUACUUCACUGCCCUCAUCCCUUCUCUUCCACAGAGGUCUUCAUGACCACCAUAGAGGCCAUUAGUAUAGGGUUCUGCUGCUUCCUUCUCGUGACGUUGGCAGUGGGUGUAGGCUGUGUGUACAAGAUGUUGGACCACAAGCGAGUGUGUGUGCCUUCCAGUCCCAGUUCUGAUGCACAUCGU
Micropterus dolomieu (smallmouth bass) is the source of this 2007-nucleotide RNA transcript. It is a transcript of the gene named putative pregnancy-specific beta-1-glycoprotein 7, with no coding region annotated. NCBI's taxonomy places the organism in Eukaryota, Metazoa, Chordata, Actinopteri, Centrarchiformes, Centrarchidae. The transcript is spliced from 8 exons. The record is from RefSeq and is a predicted model, not a curated record.